RNAcentral lists this ribosomal RNA (882 nucleotides) under uncultured archaeon. RNAcentral describes it as "bacterial SSU rRNA". It matches the Rfam family "Archaeal small subunit ribosomal RNA", at positions 1 to 865 of the family's 1478-position model. The record is from RNAcentral.
UCCGGUUGAUCCUGCCGGACCCCACUGCUAUCGGGAUAGGACUAAGACAUGCUAGUCGAGUGAUUCAGGCAAAACGAGUCACGGCACACAGCUCAGUAACACGUGGCUAAUCUGCCCUUAGGACGAGAACAACCCCGGGAAACUGGGGCUAACUCUCGAUAGGCGAAGAACUCUGGAAUGAGUCUUUACCUAAAUAGUGCAACGUUAUCCUCGUUGCAUCGCCUAAGGAUGAGGCCGCGACCGAUCAGGUUGUUGGCGAGGUAAUGGCUCACCAAGCCUUUUACCGGUGCGGGCCGUGAGAGCGGGAGCCCGGAGAUGGGCACUGAGACAAGGGCCCAGGCCCUACGGGGCGCAGCAGUCGCGAAAACUUUGCAAUAAGCGAAAGCUUGACAGGGCUAUCCCGAGUGCCAUCCGCUGAGGAAGGCUUUUACCCAGUCUAGAACGCUGGGGGAAUAAGGAGAGGGCAAGUCUGGUGUCAGCCGCCGCGGUAAUACCAGCUCUCCGAGUGGUGUGGAUGUUUAUUGGGCCUAAAGCAUCCGUAGCUGGCUAGGUCAGUCCCUUGUUAAAUCCACCGAAUUAAUCGUUGGAUUGCGGGGGAUACUGCUUGGCUAGGGGACGAGAGAGGCAGACGGUAUUUUCGGGGUAGGGGUGAAAUCCUAUAAUCCCGGGAAGACCACCAGUGGCGAAGGCUGUCUGCUAGAACGCGCCCGACGGUGAGGGAUGAAAGCUGGGGGAGCGAACCGGAUUAGAUACCCGGGUAGUCCCAGCUGUAAACGAUGCAGACUAGGUGUUUGGACGGCCACGUGCCGUUCUAGUGCCGCAGGGAAGCUGUUAAGUCUGCCGCCUGGGGAGUACGAUCGCAAGAUUGAAACUUAAAGGAAU